UACAGAGGUCCCAAGCGUUGUUCGGAUUCAUUGGGCGUAAAGAGCUCGUAGGCGGUCUGUUGCGUCCGCUGUGAAAACUCGGGGCUUAACCCCGAGCCUGCAGUGGAUACGGGCAGACUAGAGGUAGGUAGGGGAGAAUGGAAUUCCCGGUGUAGCGGUGAAAUGCGCAGAUAUCGGGAGGAACACCGGUGGCGAAGGCGGUUCUCUGGGCCUUACCUGACGCUGAGGAGCGAAAGCGUGGGGAGCGAACAGG
This 253-nucleotide ribosomal RNA is filed under the name uncultured bacterium. RNAcentral describes it as "partial 16S ribosomal RNA". It matches the Rfam family "Bacterial small subunit ribosomal RNA", at positions 524 to 776 of the family's 1533-position model. The record is from RNAcentral.